Molecule: ribosomal RNA, 456 nt
Filed under: Triticum aestivum (bread wheat)
Lineage: Eukaryota; Viridiplantae; Streptophyta; Magnoliopsida; Poales; Poaceae
Description: partial small subunit ribosomal RNA
Source: RNAcentral
AUGGCGCACCACGCGUCGGCGGCGACGGCGCAGAAGCGGAAGUGCCCCGACGGGGAGACGGCCGGCAUGUGCGCCGGCGGCUGCGGGUUCUUCGGCGCCGCCGCCACCGGCAACAUGUGCUCCAAGUGCUACAAGGAUCGCGUUCUCGCCGCCUCAACCGCCCCUCCGGAGAAGAAGGCCAAGAUGACCGUCUCCGUCGCGUCCCCUGAUGCUGCAGUCGAAGCCGAACCCUCCGUGGCGUCCGCGAAGCAGCCGGCGGUGAGGGCGAGCCGGUGCGCGGCGUGCCGCAAGAAGGUGGGGCUGCUGGGAUUCCUGUGCCGCUGCGAAGGCACCUUCUGCAGCGUGCACCGCUACUCGGACAAGCACGACUGUGGAUUCGACUACAAGACCGCCGGCCAGGAGCGAAUCGCCAAGCUCAACCCGGUCGUGGUCGCGGACAAGAUCACCAGGAUCUGA